Molecule: ribosomal RNA, 497 nt
Filed under: uncultured bacterium
Lineage: Bacteria
Description: partial 16S ribosomal RNA
Rfam family: Bacterial small subunit ribosomal RNA
Source: RNAcentral
GAUGAACGCUGGCGGCGUGCCUAAUACAUGCAAGUCGAGCGAACAGACGAGGAGCUUGCUCCUCUGACGUUAGCGGCGGACGGGUGAGUAACACGUGGAUAACCUACCUAUAAGACUGGGAUAACUUCGGGAAACCGGAGCUAAUACCGGAUAAUAUAUUGAACCGCAUGGUUCAAUAGUUAAAGACGGUUUUGCUGUCACUUAUAGCUGGAUCCGCGCCGCAUUAGCUAGUUGGUAAGGUAACGGCUUACCAAGGCAGCGAUGCGUAGCCGACCUGAGAGGGUGAUCGGCCACACUGGAACUGAGACACGGUACAGACUCCUACGGGAGGCAGCAGUAGGGAAUCUUCCGCAAUGGGCGAAAGCCUGACGGAGCAACGCCGCGUGAGUGAUGAAGGUCUUCGGAUCGUAAAACUCUGUUAUUAGGGAAGAACAAAUGUGUAAGUAACUAUGCACGUCUUGACGGUACCUAAUCAGAAAGCCACGGCUAACUACGUG